UACGUAGGGUGCAAGCGUUGUCCGGAAUUAUUGGGCGUAAAGAGCUCGUAGGCGGUCUGUCACGUCGGCUGUGAAAACCUGGGGCUCAACCCCGGGCCUGCAGCCGAUACGGGCAGACUAGAAUUCGGCAGGGGAGACUGGAAUUCCUGGUGUAGCGGUGAAAUGCGCAGAUAUCAGGAGGAACACCGGUGGCGAAGGCGGGUCUCUGGGCCGAUAUUGACGCUGAGGAGCGAAAACGUGGGGAGCAAACAGG
RNAcentral lists this ribosomal RNA (253 nucleotides) under uncultured bacterium. RNAcentral describes it as "partial 16S ribosomal RNA". It matches the Rfam family "Bacterial small subunit ribosomal RNA", at positions 524 to 776 of the family's 1533-position model. The record is from RNAcentral.